Molecule: small RNA, 51 nt
Filed under: Arabidopsis thaliana (thale cress)
Lineage: Eukaryota; Viridiplantae; Streptophyta; Magnoliopsida; Brassicales; Brassicaceae
Description: ATSL148530
Source: RNAcentral
CAUAGUUAAGGAUUAUGUUGUAGUUACUUUUAGCCUAAUCUCCUUCUUGUA